This 497-nucleotide ribosomal RNA is filed under the name uncultured bacterium. RNAcentral's name for it is "partial 16S ribosomal RNA". It matches the Rfam family "Bacterial small subunit ribosomal RNA", at positions 28 to 507 of the family's 1533-position model. The record is from RNAcentral.
GAUGAACGCUGGCGGCGUGCCUAGUACAUGCAAGUCGAGCGAACAGAUAAGGAGCUUGCUCCUUUGACGUUAGCGGCGGACGGGUGAGUAACACGUGGUUAACCUACGUAUAAGACUGGGAUAACUUCGGGAAACCGGUGCUAAUACCGUAUAACAUUUGGAACCGCAUGGUUCUAAAGUGAAAGAUGGUUUUGCUAUCACUUAUAGAUGGACCCGCGCCGUAUUAGCUAGUUGGUAAGGUAACGGCUUACCAAGGCAACGAUACGUAGCCGACCUGAGAGGGUGAUCGGCCACACUGGAACUGAGACACGGUCCAGACUCCUACGGGAGGCAGCAGUAGGGAAUAUUCCGCAAUGGGCGAAAGCCUGACGGAGCAACGCCGCGUGAGUGAUGAAGGGUUUCGGAUCGUAAAACUCUGUUAUUAGGGAAGAACAAAUGUGUAAGUAACUGUGCACGUCUUGACGGUACCUAAUGAGAAAGCCACGGCUAACUACGUG